GAAGCCCAACAAGUAUUUUUUUCUCCAUCUUAAAAAGCCCAAUCAAAUCUUUUUGGACACUUCGUUUUUCUCUGCACCUCCCACAGUUGAAAAUAAUAAUGUGGAACAGGACAUAAAUGUUGGAGAUGACAAUAAAAAAUGGUGAGAUGAUUAAUAGGGUACAUGUGACAUGCGCAGAAGAUAUCUGGAACUUUAAUGAUAUUCGAGAUCUGCUAUGUUCUAUACGGAUAAUUGGUUUUUUUUUUUUUUUUUUUUUUUUUUUUUUUUUUUUUUUUUUUUUUCGAUUCGUGUUUUAGAUAUCCGCAAAAUCCGUAUUUCAUACGAUUAUUAUAUUUCACCCCAAAAAUAAAAAAAAAUCCAAAAACCCAAACACUUUCAUACGAUUAUUAUGUUUUAAGAAAAAAACGGAUAAUUGAUGAGACGCAUAAAAGUGUUUGGGUUUUUGGAUUUUUUUUUAUUUUUCGUAAGGCGAAUUUGUUACUAGAUUCUGAGACAAGAUUGAGGAGCCGAUGUUUGAUGAGAAGCUGCCGAGAAAUAUCACAAUUUUAUUGUCUUAAGUCGCACUUUUGCUGAAUCAUAAAGGAAAUGUAUCACACGCUUCAGUCUUAUGUAAAUAAUUAUGAAUUUACUUGGAUGACAACUUUUUUUCUUAAACAUAAAAGAAAGAUGAAAAAACUUGGAAUGAUUCUAGCAGUAAAGGGUAGAGUGAAUGAGGUAAGGUUUUGGAGAUGAUUCCCUAGUCUAAGUCCUUGUACUAGAUGGGAGAUAAAAUACAAUUAAAGUGUUGAGAUUUAGGGAGUCCUUGUCCAACUCUAUAUUUUCCGAAUAGUAUUGUCCACUUUAAACCUAAGAGAUUAGUAUGCAUGGAUUUACUUUUGGGUUCAUUUCCAAAAUGUCUCGUCCUAAUUAGAGUUGAACAUAUCUUUAUAUAUUAGAAAUUAUGUGUCUAAUUUUCUAAUGUGAAACUUAAUUUGAUAUCUCACAUUUUCCCUUCAAACUAAGAACCACACUCAUUUCAUGUCUCACAAUUAAAC
RNAcentral lists this long non-coding RNA (1034 nucleotides) under Brassica rapa (field mustard). Its description in RNAcentral is "long non-coding RNA (BRAP_LNC006427)". The record is from RNAcentral. Lineage: Eukaryota; Viridiplantae; Streptophyta; Magnoliopsida; Brassicales; Brassicaceae.